Molecule: ribosomal RNA, 265 nt
Filed under: uncultured bacterium
Lineage: Bacteria
Description: partial 16S ribosomal RNA
Rfam family: Bacterial small subunit ribosomal RNA
Source: RNAcentral
AACGAACGCUGGCGGCGUGGAUAAGACAUGCAAGUCGAACGGGAUUACUUCUGGUAGCAAUACCGGAAGUAAUUUAGUGGCGAACGGGUGCGUAACACGUGGGGAAUCUGCCGAGAAGUGGGGGAGUAGCUCGUCGAAAGGACGAAUUAAUACCGCAUAUGAUCAGUGAAGACAUCUUCGCGACAUCAAAGACCGGGGCGAACCUGGCGCUUCUUGAUGAGCCCGCCGGCCAUCAGCUAGUUGGUGAGGUAACGGCUCACCAAGG